UACGGGGGGGGCAAGCGUUGUUCGGAAUUACUGGGCGUAAAGGGCUCGUAGGCGGCCAACUAAGUCAGACGUGAAAUCCCCAGGCUCAACCUGGGAACUGCGUCUGAUACUGGUUGGCUUGAAUCCGGGAGAGGGAUGCAGAAUUCCAGGUGUAGCGGUGAAAUGCGUAGAUAUCUGGAGGAAUACCGGUGGCGAAGGCGGCAUCCUGGACCGGCAUUGACGCUGAGGAGCGAAAGCCAGGGGAGCAAACAGGAUUAGAUACCCCCGUAGUCC
This 273-nucleotide ribosomal RNA is filed under the name uncultured bacterium. Its description in RNAcentral is "partial 16S ribosomal RNA". It matches the Rfam family "Bacterial small subunit ribosomal RNA", at positions 524 to 796 of the family's 1533-position model. The record is from RNAcentral.